Molecule: ribosomal RNA, 394 nt
Filed under: uncultured bacterium
Lineage: Bacteria
Description: bacterial SSU rRNA
Rfam family: Bacterial small subunit ribosomal RNA
Source: RNAcentral
CAGGCCUUGACAUCCUAUGAACUUUCCAGAGAUGGAUGGGUGCCUUCGGGAACAUUGAGACAGGUGCUGCAUGGCUGUCGUCAGCUCGUGUCGUGAGAUGUUGGGUUAAGUCCCGUAACGAGCGCAACCCUUGUCUCUAGUUGCUACGAAAGGGCACUCUAGAGAGACUGCCGGUGACAAACCGGAGGAAGGUGGGGAUGACGUCAAGUCCUCAUGGCCCUUAUGGGUAGGGCUUCACACGUCAUACAAUGGUACAUACAGAGGGCCGCCAACCCGCGAGGGGGAGCUAAUCCCAGAAAGUGUAUCGUAGUCCGGAUUGUAGUCUGCAACUCGACUGCAUGAAGUUGGAAUCGCUAGUAAUCGCGGAUCAGCAUGUCGCGGUGAAUACGUUCCC